CUAUCUCCCUCUCUCUUUGCUCCGCCUGUGGUCUUUCUCUCUCUCAAAAUAAAUAGAUAAACUUAAAAAAAAAUAAAAUAUGAGAUUAGAUAGAUAGAUACCUACGUAAUACCCCCCUCCCUUAUCUUCAGGACCACUGUUGGCCCACCAUUGCUGCUUAAUCGAUAGUAGCCGUAUUAGUACUUAUUCUGGCAACUGCCGUGGGCAGAGGCUGGGGACGCCAGUCAGGGAGCUCAGUGCAGAUGUGUUCUGGUGCGAGUAUAUGCAGGCUCGGGCCCAUAUGAGCAGGACGGGUCAAGUCCUUCUGGUUUCUCACAUGAGGACUUGUUCCUGAUGGUAGCCAAAUGGAGUGUUGCCCCCAGAGAAGCUCCCUGGCUCUGACACCCUGGCAUGUUCUCCUCCUUUGCUGGUCCUUGCUGGCCCCUGUGUCCCCAUCUGCUCGUGGGGCUCGCACUGCCUUUCCUGGGGUGGCCGCGAGGAUUAAAUAGGAGCCGCGUGAGACCCGGCGCACCUUCCCUCAAGGGUUCCGUAGAGCAGCCCCAUCAGAAGCCCUCAGAAGCCCUUGAGUUCUGAGGUGUCCAGGGAGACGUGUACCUCUCCAUCCUCCAGGUCCUUUCCUGGAAAUGCAGAUGUGGUGGCACCGGACCAGAGAUGGACCGGGAGCCUUCCUAAGCUGGGUGUAUGACACAGUCUUGAUUUCCUGAUCUGUACAAUGGACACCAUAGCUCCUACUACAGGUUAUCAUGAGGCUUAUGUGAGCUGGAGGCAGAAGGAGCCUGGAAGAGAGGAGCAGGCUAUGCAUUUUUGGCACGAAAACCACAGGAGUGAUGUUAUGUCUUUCCCAGUGCCUCAUAUCCAGAGGCACACUGUCUACUCGUUCCCGCACUCGUGACGCCGACUUGAUCCGUUUGGGUUUAGAUUUCAAGGCUUCUCUUCUUCCUGUUGCUCCAUGUAACCCACAUUCUGAUUUCUGUCCACUGAGCUCAAACUGUCAGAAGCGAUAUUGCUGUCAAAGCAGUGGCAACUUACAUUAAAUGCUAUUACAACUCAAGAUGUUGCCUUCACACUGUGAGUUUACUUGAGGGAAAACACCAGUUCUGAAUUUCCAGUGUUUUUGUAUCUUACACAGAGAAAAACCCAAGAUGAAGUUCAUUGAGUGAAUAAAUAAAUAAAAUAAUGAACAAAUGAAUGAAUGAGAUUCUCAGUUCAGUUUUCUCCUUAAGGGCAGGAAAAUAUACCUUAUUUAUCCCUUUGUCUUCUGUAAAAAGCAGGUGCUCAAUUCAAUGUGAGUGAAUAAAACUUAAUCCUCUGGUGGAUAUGUCCUUACUUAGGGGAGGAAGGAAAAAAUGGCUGUUUUAUCUAAACAAAAAAUUUUUUGCAGCCCUUCCUUUUUCUUUUCUAAAUAAAGGUGUUUCUACUUUGAUCCGGAGUGUGUAAAAAUAAACGAUUUUCUCUCUUUGGUUA
Long non-coding RNA from Felis catus (domestic cat), 1464 nucleotides. RefSeq lists it as uncharacterized. The transcript has 3 exons. NCBI's taxonomy places the organism in Eukaryota, Metazoa, Chordata, Mammalia, Carnivora, Felidae. The record is from RefSeq and is a predicted model, not a curated record.